GACGAACGCUGGCGGCGUGCCUAAUACAUGCAAGUUGAGCGCUGAAGGUUGGUACUUGUACCAACUGGAUGAGCAGCGAACGGGUGAGUAACGCGUGGGGAAUCUGCCUUUGAGCGGGGGACAACAUCUGGAAACGAAUGCUAAUACCGCAUAAAAACUUUAAACACAAGUUUCAAGUUUGAAAGAUGCAAUUGCAUCACUCAAAGAUGAUCCCGCGUUGUAUUAGCUAGUUGGUGAGGUAAAGGCUCACCAAGGCGAUGAUACAUAGCCGACCUGAGAGGGGGAUCCGCCACAUUGGGACUGAGACACGGCCCAAACUCCUACGGGAGGCAGCAGUAGGGAAACUUCGGCAAUAGACGGAAGUCUGACCGAGGAACGCCGCGGGGGUGAAGGAGGGUUUCGGAUCGGAAAACUCUGUUGGUAAAGAAGGAAGAUGGUGGGAGUGGAAAGCUCAUCAAGUGACGGUAACUAACCAGAAAGGGACGGCUAACUACGUG
RNAcentral lists this ribosomal RNA (497 nucleotides) under uncultured bacterium. RNAcentral's name for it is "partial 16S ribosomal RNA". It matches the Rfam family "Bacterial small subunit ribosomal RNA", at positions 28 to 507 of the family's 1533-position model. The record is from RNAcentral.